AUGGAGUUCCAAGGGCAGCACGACAACCCUGCCAACCGCGUCGACGAGUACGGCAACCCGUUCCCGCUGGCCGGCGGCGUGGGGGUGCGCAUGCCGCUCCCGGCACCGGCGGGCAGUUCCAGGCCCGUAGGGAGGAGCACAAGACCGGUGGGAUCCUGCAUCGCUCCGGCAGCUCCCGCUCAAGCUCGGUAUGAUCCUCUGUCGCGUGUCGACACACACAUGCAGGGGCGGAGCUUUGUUGGGGCAAAACCGGGCUAUGGCCCGCCCAGAUCGAUCAAGCCUCCAAACUCGCUCCAACGUACACAGCAGGAGCAGCAGCCGCCACACAGCAACGACGCGUAUGCGUUGCACAGUAACGAUGCGCAGAUCGCACAGCUUCCUCGCUCUUCGCUGCUAAACGCACGCGACACCUUCGCCCGCCCAACUUUUUCUUUGAAGCUCCGCCACUGCACACAUUCUUCCGAGGACGACGGCAUGGGCGGGAGGAGGAAGAAGGGCAUGAAGGAGACGAUCAACGAGAAGCUCCCCGGCGGCCACAAGGACAACCAGCAGCACAUGGCGACUGGAACGGGGACUGGAGGAGCCUACGGGCCGGGGACUGGAACUGGUGGAGCCUACGGGCAGCAAGGCCACGCAGGAAUGGCCGGCGCCGGCACUGGCACCGGCGAGAAGAAGGGGAUCAUGGACAAGAUCAAGGAGAAGCUGCCGGGACAGCACUGCGCUGCCGGCUCCGGCUGGCUGCUUCCUUUGCAUAGUUACACGCGUCAAAGCCUUCCAGUUCCACGUGAUCUUAUUCAAUAA
RNAcentral lists this ribosomal RNA (801 nucleotides) under Triticum aestivum (bread wheat). RNAcentral describes it as "partial small subunit ribosomal RNA". Lineage: Eukaryota; Viridiplantae; Streptophyta; Magnoliopsida; Poales; Poaceae. The record is from RNAcentral.